Diachasmimorpha longicaudata is the source of this 2293-nucleotide RNA transcript. It is a transcript of the gene named G-protein coupled receptor moody, with no coding region annotated. NCBI's taxonomy places the organism in Eukaryota, Metazoa, Arthropoda, Insecta, Hymenoptera, Braconidae. The record is from RefSeq and is a predicted model, not a curated record. The transcript has 10 exons.
GUGCGUUUUGUCAUUCCCGGGUGCCCCACCAUAACAACUGCCCAUAUUCUCGCUUCACGCUCAACGUUUGACAGAGCUGAAUGCCUCUCAUAGCAGUCGAACGGUGACACUUGCCGAGAACGGCCAAAGACCACUGUAAAUCCCAGAUCGUGACAGAGAGAUAACGUGAAUCAUCUCUCUGAUAAAUUCAUGCAUCAAUCGGGUCAAUAAAAAUUUCAAAAUUCAUUUCAUCACUUACAAGCAAAUUGUUUUAGAAAGACCUGUCCCUGUUCCCGGACAUUUUUUUACUUGUUUCCGACGGUUUCAAAUUUAAUGAAGUGACUAAGUGGCGGUUAAGUGGUAUCUCAUUCAUUUUUUGUGUCACAUCCAUGGGAUUCUGCGAAGUCGAGCGGAUGUACUCUCUUUGGAAUAAUUUAUUGGAUCCAGCGCGGCUUUUGAUUCUGGCUGAAGUCACCAACGUCUCCUCUAUUUCAAAAGACUUCAUGAAGUGAUAAACAUGAGUGGUUGUUACCAGUGACGAUUACAUUAGUCGAUGCACUUAUUCAAAUAAACAAUUAAAAUUGCAGGACUUUUUAUUGAGUCGAAAAUAUUUGGGUAUCAAAAUUUCAGUGAUUAAACAUUAAUUAUUCAGCGGCUUCAGUGAAGUGUUUGGAGAUAAGAUACAGCGAUACUUCAUUGAGGGAGAUUCAGGAGUAUAAAUUCCGGGAAAUAAACAAGACCCAGCUGCACCGGAGAAUAGCAGUGCGAGGUCGGGUGCACGUGUAAAUCGCGAUACACCUGAGGGCUGUAUACUUUCACCUUCGUUGUGUGUGGUUUUACCGCGAUGUGAGUCAAGUUUUGACUCAUGCGGAUACUCUGGCGAUGAUUAAGCGAGAAUCAUUUGAUGACGUCAAGGUGCGCAUUCAAUAGUGAACCGGAGACCACGAUUGAGGUGAAUCGACGCUCUCAGAACCCAUUGAGGAUGAAUUUUAUUUAUCCGCGAAUGACGAGGACUGAAUCGGCAAUGAGCAUGGAGAACGUAACUACUUAUUGGCUGCCCCGGAUCGCCGAGGCUGUCAAUCAUACAAUGACAGAGGCAUCGAGGUUCCCUAAGCCUCUGAGGACAUUUGCCGCAGUUGUUUCUAUUCUGAUAAUGAUAACGGGUUUCGUGGGAAAUUUACUCACGAUCAUUGCUCUCUGCAAGUAUCCAAAGGUUCGCAAUGUCGCUGCUGCAUUUAUCAUAAGUCUGUGCUUUGCUGAUUUUAUUUUCUGUGUGCUGGUGCUGCCGUUUGAUUCAAUCAGAUUUGUGAAUCAUGGCUGGACAGAUGCGCGAUUUCUCUGUGUUCUCGUGCCAUUUCUACGAUAUGGAAACGUCGGGGUGAGCCUCCUCUGCGUUGCUGCUAUCACUGUCAAUCGAUAUAUUAUGAUUACUCAUCAUAAUCUUUAUGGGAAGAUUUAUAAGAAGCAUUGGAUCGCAGCUAUGAUUCUGUUUUGCUAUGUGUUCUCGUAUUCGAUGCAGGUGCCCACACUCAUUGGUGCCUGGGGUAACUUUGAUUAUGAUUCAAACCUCGAAACCUGCUCAAUAGUGAGAGACUCCAGGGGUCGGAGUUCGAAGACCUUCCUGUUUCUAACUGGCUUUGUGAUUCCUUGUAUAAUAAUUAUCGGCUGUUACGCGAAAAUAUUUUGGGUUGUUCACAGUUCGGAAUCGCGAAUGCGUAAGCAUGCAAGUCCAGCUGUAAAAUCACCUCACACUCCAGGACGUGAUACAAGAGAGAUAAAGCAGCGCCGAAGCGAGUGGAGGAUAACAAAAAUGGUAUUAGUUAUAUUCCUGAGCUUCGUUGCCUGUUACUUGCCGAUCACCAUCGUUAAAGUGACUGAUCCGGAAGUCAGAUAUCCCGCGGCUCAUGUGACGGGUUACUUACUUCUCUACUUCGCAUCCUGCGUUAAUCCGAUAAUCUAUGUUAUAAUGAACAAACAGUACAGACAGGCGUAUGCAGGUGUUAUUAGCUGUUCGAGGAUUCGUGCAACGUUGACCCCCCAUGGAAGCAGUGUCCCGGGACAAAAUAACUAUGGCCAAGGACCGCCAGAUGCGAGCUAGAUAAUAGACUGUCACUUUACUACUAACGCGGAUCUCAACGGUAGCAUGUUUUUGAUAGACCGGCGAAUGAAGCUAGAUUAUUCCAAGGAUUAUAGCAAGACGAUGGUGUCAACCGUGUCGAUUGCGAUGAAUCCGGUGAUAAGAAAGUCGGAGCUUCCGGAUGACUAUUAAUCGCCAGGAAAACAACUCAGAGUGUUUGUACACUCAAGCGAAUAC